This 498-nucleotide ribosomal RNA is filed under the name uncultured bacterium. RNAcentral's name for it is "partial 16S ribosomal RNA". It matches the Rfam family "Bacterial small subunit ribosomal RNA", at positions 30 to 523 of the family's 1533-position model. The record is from RNAcentral.
AUUGAACGCUGGCGGCAUGCCUUACACAUGCAAGUCGAACGGUAACAGGUCUUCGGAUGCUGACGAGUGGCGAACGGGUGAGUAAUACAUCGGAACGUGCCUAGUAGUGGGGGAUAACUACUCGAAAGAGUGGCUAAUACCGCAUGAGAUCUACGGAUGAAAGCAGGGGAUCGCAAGACCUUGUGCUACUAGAGCGGACGAUGGCCGAUUAGGGAGUUGGUGGGAUAAAAGCUUACCAAGCCGACGAUCUGUAGCUGGUCUGAGAGGACGAUCAGCCACACUGGGACUGAGACACGGCCCAGACUCCUACGGGAGGCAGCAGUGGGGAAUUUUGGACAAUGGGCGAAAGCCUGAUCCAGCAAUGCCGCGUGCAGGAUGAAGGCCUUCGGGUUGUAAACUGCUUUUGUACGGAACGAAAAGCCCCGGGUUAAUACCCUGGGGUCAUGACGGUACCGUAAGAAUAAGCACCGGCUAACUACGUGCCAGCCGCCGCCGUAA